AAUGAAGAAAGGUGCAAAAUGUAACAAUGUUGUUCCGUAUUUUCCAACAGGCUACAUUACUUAGGUGAGGUGACCGGAAAAGAAGCAGCAGGUUUACCUCCUAUAUCUGCUCAGCCAAACACUGCCACAUGAAGAGAUGUACAGUAGACAAGGAAAAAUCAUGUGGAAAGGGAAGGAGGAGACUGGGGCUGUAAGAUGUCUGCUCCAGUGCACCUAAUCUUGCACCUCUCAUCCCUACACCUGUACUGGGAUGACCAGCAGUUGCAGGACCAAUCUUGACACCAUGGUGUCAUUUUAAAUGAACAGAAGGGACACAACGGGAAUGCUGCUGGACAGUUAUAUUUAAACUUUUGUACUAACUUUCAAUAAAU
Long non-coding RNA from Oncorhynchus keta (chum salmon), 371 nucleotides. RefSeq lists it as uncharacterized. Lineage: Eukaryota; Metazoa; Chordata; Actinopteri; Salmoniformes; Salmonidae. The transcript is spliced from 3 exons. The record is from RefSeq and is a predicted model, not a curated record.